AGACGAGCGUUAUCCGGAUUUACUGGGCGUAAAGCGCGUGCAGGCGGCAUGGCAAGUUGGAUGUGAAAGUUCCCGGCUUAACUGGGAGAGGUCGUUCAAUACUGCCAGGCUUGAGAGUGGUAGAGGGAAGCGGAAUUCCGGGUGUAGUGGUGAAAUGCGUAGAUAUCCGGAGGAACACCAGUGGCGAAAGCGGCUUCCUGGCCCAUUCUGACACUCAGACGCGAAAGCUAGGGUAGC
RNAcentral lists this ribosomal RNA (237 nucleotides) under uncultured bacterium. RNAcentral describes it as "partial 16S ribosomal RNA". It matches the Rfam family "Bacterial small subunit ribosomal RNA", at positions 532 to 769 of the family's 1533-position model. The record is from RNAcentral.